CUAGACAGUGUAAUGGGUUAGAGAGAGAGAGGUUACUUACUAGACAGUGUAAUGGGUUAGAGAGAGAGAGAGAGGUUACUUACUAGACAGUGUAAUGGGUUAGAGAGAGAGAGAGGUUACUUACUAGACAGUGUAACGGGUUAGAGAGAGGUUACUUACUAGACAGUGUAACGGGUUAGAGAGAGAGAUUACUUACUAAACAGUGUAAUGGGUUAGACAGAGAGAGGUUACUUACUAGACUAGACAUUGUAAUGGGUUAGAGAGAGAGAGGUUACUUACUAGACAGUGUAAUGGGUUAGAGAGAGAGUUUACUUACUAGACAGUGUAAUGAUUUAGAGAGAGAGGUUACUUACUAGACAGUGUAAUGGGUUAGAGAGAGAGAGGUUACUUACUAGACAGUGUAAUGGGUUAGAGAGAGAGAGAU
Molecule: long non-coding RNA, 424 nt
Filed under: Salmo salar (Atlantic salmon)
Lineage: Eukaryota; Metazoa; Chordata; Actinopteri; Salmoniformes; Salmonidae
Description: lncRNA (ENSSSAG00000086960.1, ENSSSAG00000102884.1)
Source: RNAcentral